RNAcentral lists this ribosomal RNA (253 nucleotides) under uncultured bacterium. Its description in RNAcentral is "partial 16S ribosomal RNA". It matches the Rfam family "Bacterial small subunit ribosomal RNA", at positions 524 to 776 of the family's 1533-position model. The record is from RNAcentral.
UACGUAGGGUGCAAGCGUUGUCCGGAAUUAUUGGGCGUAAAGAGCUCGUAGGCGGUUUGUCGCGUCUGCUGUGAAAAUCCAGGGCUUAACCCUGGACCUGCAGUGGGUACGGGCAGACUGGAGUGCGGUAGGGGAGACUGGAAUUCCAGGUGUAGCGGUGAAAUGCGUAGAUAUCUGGAGGAACACCGGUGGCGAAGGCGGCAUCCUGGACCGGUAUUGACGCUGAGGCGCGAAAGCUAGGGGAGCAAACAGG